Molecule: ribosomal RNA, 301 nt
Filed under: uncultured bacterium
Lineage: Bacteria
Description: partial 16S ribosomal RNA
Rfam family: Bacterial small subunit ribosomal RNA
Source: RNAcentral
CAGCCGCCACGGUAAUACGGAGGGUGCAAGCGUUAAUCGGAAUUACUGGGCGUAAAGCGCACGUAGGCGGCUUGGUAAGUUAGAGGUGAAAGCCCGGAGCUCAACUCCGGAAUUGCCUUUAAGACUGCCGAGCUAGUAGGUGAGAGAGGUAAGUGGAAUUCCGAGUGUAGAGGUGAAAUUCGUAGAUAUUCGGAAGAACACCAGUGGCGAAGGCGGCUUACUGGCUCAUUCUAGACGCUGAGGUGCGAAAGCGUGGGGAGCAAACAGGAUUAGAUACCCGCGUAGUCCCUGUCUCUUAUAC